Molecule: long non-coding RNA, 210 nt
Filed under: Elaeis guineensis (African oil palm)
Lineage: Eukaryota; Viridiplantae; Streptophyta; Magnoliopsida; Arecales; Arecaceae
Description: long non-coding RNA (EGUI_LNC016375)
Source: RNAcentral
CCCGCAUCUCUCUCUUUCGAACAUUUUUUGUCCUCCGACCCCACCCAAAAGUCCGAGGGUGGUGGUUUUUCAAUCUCUGAAAGGGUCUUUCGUUCAUUACCGAUCUUCUAUCAUCGAUCCACGGGUGGAAGAAUCAAUUUUUCUUUACUUCUUCUUCGCUACCUUGGGGGUUUCCUUCUCGCUGGGGCGACCCUCGAACUCAGCCGAACG